UGAGCGUGGUAUUCAUUUUAUUGGACCAGACUUUAUUUGCAUGCCAUGGUGAACAGGAGUUUGUGACUUGAUAUCCGAGCACUGGUUUCAAAAUAAAUUACUUCUUUCUUACAGCUCUAGUUUGCCUCUAUUGCAACUUAAGUUCUUUACAAUAGUGUUAAUGCCCCCUCAGUCCCAUAAAAAUAAGCCUAUAGUUAAUUUCACAUGUGUUAAGAAAAUGUAAUUAAUAUAGUUAAAGUAGUAAAUUCUAUAUUGUCUUUCCUAAGAUGCCCUCCACUCAUAUUGUUCAAUCACUAAAUUAUUCUUGAAACUAAUAAAUUUUACUUUUUUAGUGCAUAUUAAAUAGGGGUAUAUUUGAAAGCUAAUAAAUAAAUUAGCAUAUUAAAAAGCAAAGUAGCAUGUCAUUUGGGAUGAAUGAAAAAGGAAAGCAAGCCUAUAUUUAUGGGAUAGGGGAAGUAGUAGGAUGAAUGAAAAAGGAAAGCAAGCCUAUAUUUAUGGGAUAGGGGAAGUAGUAUACUUUCUGAUAUUGGCAUUAGAAUUUGUUUGGAUAUAUGUUAUAAUAAAAGGUUUGGGGCCAUUUGCCAUUAGGUGGUGGACGCUUGAUCAGUUGUUUAAUUUUUCUUCUUACCUAUUUUGUUGAAUAUGCUGAAUUUAGGUGUUACCUUGUGUAGGUGCAUGAGUGGUUGCCCUUUUCUUAUGUGGUUUCUCUUAGUUGAUUUCUAUUUUGGUUUUAGAAGACCUUAUUCAGAGUCCUCAAAAUGGCUUAUUAGGAUUAGACAUGUCCAUAUACUAAUUUCUUCCUUAAUUCAAAAUAAUUCAUUGUUUGCUAGUUCUUGGAUGUUUUUAUUGAAACACAUGUUGUUUACUGUUCUUUACGAUUCUGUGUGGUAAAUAGUUAAAUAUUGAUCAUUUGGCACUUGAUGAUGGAUGGGGAAAAAGGAGAACAGCA
This 949-nucleotide long non-coding RNA is filed under the name Manihot esculenta (cassava). Its description in RNAcentral is "long non-coding RNA (MESC_LNC008214)". The record is from RNAcentral. Lineage: Eukaryota; Viridiplantae; Streptophyta; Magnoliopsida; Malpighiales; Euphorbiaceae.